RNAcentral lists this ribosomal RNA (492 nucleotides) under Salmonella enterica subsp. enterica serovar Kirkee. RNAcentral's name for it is "bacterial SSU rRNA". It matches the Rfam family "Bacterial small subunit ribosomal RNA", at positions 1050 to 1533 of the family's 1533-position model. The record is from RNAcentral. Lineage: Bacteria; Pseudomonadati; Pseudomonadota; Gammaproteobacteria; Enterobacterales; Enterobacteriaceae.
UGUCGUCAGCUCGUGUUGUGAAAUGUUGGGUUAAGUCCCGCAACGAGCGCAACCCUUAUCCUUUGUUGCCAGCGAUUAGGUCGGGAACUCAAAGGAGACUGCCAGUGAUAAACUGGAGGAAGGUGGGGAUGACGUCAAGUCAUCAUGGCCCUUACGACCAGGGCUACACACGUGCUACAAUGGCGCAUACAAAGAGAAGCGACCUCGCGAGAGCAAGCGGACCUCAUAAAGUGCGUCGUAGUCCGGAUUGGAGUCUGCAACUCGACUCCAUGAAGUCGGAAUCGCUAGUAAUCGUGGAUCAGAAUGCCACGGUGAAUACGUUCCCGGGCCUUGUACACACCGCCCGUCACACCAUGGGAGUGGGUUGCAAAAGAAGUAGGUAGCUUAACCUUCGGGAGGGCGCUUACCACUUUGUGAUUCAUGACUGGGGUGAAGUCGUAACAAGGUAACCGUAGGGGAACCUGCGGUUGGAUCACCUCCUUACCUUAAAGA